This 254-nucleotide ribosomal RNA is filed under the name uncultured bacterium. RNAcentral's name for it is "partial 16S ribosomal RNA". It matches the Rfam family "Bacterial small subunit ribosomal RNA", at positions 524 to 776 of the family's 1533-position model. The record is from RNAcentral.
UGCGAAGGGGGCUAGCGUUGUUCGGAAUUACUGGGCGUAAAGCGCGCGCAGGCGGCUUUUCAAGUCAGGGGUGAACUCCCAGAGCUCAACUCUGGAAUUGCCUUUGAGACUGGGAAGCUUCGAGUACGGGAGAGGUGAGUGGAAUUCCCAGUGUAGAGGUGAAAUGCGUAGAUAUUGGGAAGAACACCAGUGGCGAAGGCGGCUCACUGGCCCGUUACUGACGCUCAGGCGCGACAGCGUGGGGAUCAAACAGG